RNAcentral lists this long non-coding RNA (2738 nucleotides) under Triticum aestivum (bread wheat). Its description in RNAcentral is "long non-coding RNA (TAES_LNC004510)". The record is from RNAcentral. Lineage: Eukaryota; Viridiplantae; Streptophyta; Magnoliopsida; Poales; Poaceae.
ACACUGUCAUUUGACUCCUUUGAAACAUUUUUGCUUUCAGAUGGAACCCACGAGGCAGGUCGUGCGCCACACGACGGCCAUUGGUGCCUCGGAAUACCUGCUGUGCUAGUUGAGAUGAUGACCUAUCUGGGGUUCACAGGCAUAGUUUGACCAUCCAGAACACACAAGUCAAAGGGCCACUAUUUGCUAGUCUGAACUAAUUCAAACAAUGGUCCAGAACACAUAAAUCACAUACAUGAGCACAAAGUUUCUACUCCAAAACACUUGAAGCACCAAAUGGUCCAGAACACACAUAAGAUUCAAGAAAUGAUUGAAGUUGGUUGGUCCAAAAUACUACAAACAGCCAUAUGUGUUCCAUGACACUCCAAGUCCUCCUCACAUCCAAUGCUAGGUGUGGAUAAGUAGCUGAAAAUAUUCCAUAUGAAUUUGUCACGAAAGUGCAAUCAUUCCAAAAGUUGUUCAAAGCUCAUAUGAAGAUUGUUAGGCUAGAGCAGCACAUGCUAGCUUAUACUUGGUUGUUCAUGUGAGAGUAACAUUGUUAUAUGACCAUGAAUACACAUAAAUAUAUUUGUUCCUAUGCGGUGAAGUGUAGUGUUGCGGGCAUCCUUCUCCACAGGAAUCAAUCACCACAGGAAACAAUGUUCUGCUAUUUUUGUCAACAUCAUUUGAUCAACACACUUGAGUUCCUUUUGGUUCCAUGUCCCAGAAUUAUUAGCAAGAGCAUUCCCAGAAAAUCUACUUGUGCAUAUAUGCUACAGAAAUGCUUAUCACGAGUAAAACACAUUCUCAAAAAUAAGCUUGGUAUGGCAACAAACAAACUAAACUAAUACAAGGGGAAAGGAUGCACAAUUAGGAUGUGGCUAUUUUCAAGUUUGUAACAUAUUUGACCAAGAUCAGGACAUGGAUUAUCAAUAUGCUUCUGCAGAAUCGUUUCUUAAUUGAGCCGCACGACACCAUCAGAAUUACAAUAUUCUAUUCUGGAGCUCAAAAGUUCAGACUGGUGGCAAGUUAAUAAGCUAACAUGGCAGCUCUGUGAGUCUGCAACAGGUUAUAAAGGAUAAGAUGAUGCCUACAAACUUGGCAAUAAAUACCAUAAGAUAGGAUUCCUGGUCAGCAAUAUUAUUUGUUAACAACUCAUAGUAGUAGUUGUAGCUUGUUAUAUUUAAGAACAGGCAGUAGUAGUUUAUAAAGAAAUGGGCUUGUCAGAUACUAAGAGUUGUAGGUUGUAAUAAUAUUUAAGAACUGGCAGUAGUAGAUAGUACUAAACUUUUAUAUGCUAUAGAGGAAACAUGGCUGGGCCUUAUGUAGUUAUGUUGCACUUCUUUGUACAUUGUCUUGACACAUUCAGUUUACUUGUAAUGUAUAAAUUAGAUGAAGAGAUACUACAAUAUCACGAGCCAUUGAGGAUGAAGCUGAGGUUACCAUCUAUGAUCUAUUUAAAGAGGAAAUAAAAAUCUAAAGCUUCAACAAGUAGAGGCAACUGCUGUUAGUACCUGCACCUCCUGACACAUUAGUUGUCUUCUUGGCAUCUUUGAUCUGCAACAAGACAACAACAAUCAUUACUCUUUGGUCUGAUUCCCAAAACAACUGAAAAAUAGGCAUUCAAAAAUAGGCCUACAUGUAAUUAUUACUAGUACGAAUGCCGUGCUACAAUCUUCAACUUCAGUAUCAAAUAUACUGUCAUCAGAGAUGCCCGAGUAGUUCCGCUGCACUGAGAGUGCUCUGCUGAUGUUGCACGGCACGGCCUGCUCGUGCUGCUACUCUUGCAUGCUUGGGCUGUCGGGCGUCCGGAAAGAAGAAAAAUUGUAGAGCUGCGACAGCAGCAGCUUCAGGUGCUGAUGUGCUCUUGAGGAAUCCUUCCAUGUUGGUAAAUUCAGUGUCCGGUUUCUCAGCAUAGAUAAGAUAAAUAGCAAUUUCUUAGUCUGUGUUGCUACUCAUUAAUUCUUUUAGACCACCGAUGUGGUUAGUAAAAAGAUCAAAAAGUUCAGCAUAACUCAGACCGAUGUGGAUAGUUCACACGGGUUAAUUUGUUGUUUCAUGUGCACAUAUUAAUCAAAUAAAUUCUUCCAAUCUAGUUAAUUGUGCUGCUGGAUUUUGGUGGUCAUUCUGAAUGUAUAAAUUUGUUGUGCGGAUCUCUAAACUAAUAUGGAUCUGUUUACGAACUAUAACUUAGCACUAUAUCAAGUUCUUGCUAUCAGUUUGAUUUUGGUGGUCCAAGUGGAUAUAUACACGAGUCAUACAGCCACAGUCUGCACUAUUUGGUUAAUGAGAAUGGGAGGAGCACAACACUGACCCCAUCGCUUAUCUCAGCCAGCUUCGGGUCCACCAUGGCCACCUACACCGAGCGCCAUAUCACGUCCCCGAGCUUCGUUGUCGACUCAUCUACACCAACCCAAUCACCACAAACAGAGAUAUCAGAACAGUUCAUGACAUAAUUAUACCGCUUAUGAGUUGGGGAAAAAGGAAACUUUGAUGUACCUAGGCUUAGACAACCACGUUUUUUCCACGAUGCACCAUUAAUAUCAAAUUUGCCAAGUAUCUAAAGUUGGCUAGUGCCACAGUGUUAGUUUUGCAUCGGUGAAGCAACAAUCAUUAUUCAUUAUUCAGGCAAAUAGCAGUACAAAACAAUCAAGCAACAGAAACACAUUCUUGUCCGGUUGUCUACUGUCACAAGCAACGACAUAUGAAUUAAGUGCAGCAGUACAGCAAAGGAAAACUUAGGAGGAGUUGACGCUUAC